CUGUUCAACCUCUGCCGCCUCUCUUUAUAAUAUGUCUGUACAAGUAAUUCUCCAAGUGCAUGGUGACUACUUAUAUAGGAGCUUGGAUUUCUUUCUUCUUUCUAAAAGGAGAAGAUGAUCUGCUGGUUUAUGCUGACCUCUUGUGUCUAUGGGUUGUAUGUCGUGAGGGGGGCUUCAACCUUCUAUCAGGCAGAGAAGAACAAAAAAGUCACAAUAAAAUGGGACAGUCAGAUCAAACCUGACAUGUCUUCCACCAACCUGGUGUGUGUUUUCAAGUCAGAGGUUAAUAGGGUUUUAUUCCAUAUGAUAAAUGGUGUUGAGGUCCCAGAGUCUCAGGAUGAACAGUUUGCAGGACGAGUCCAGUGGGACAAAGAUGUCCUCAGAGAAGGACGACUCAGACUUCAUGUGUCCAGACUCAGGACUGAAGACUCGGGAAAUUACUGGUGUAAAUUAACCACCAUUUAUGGCGAGACCAUGGCAAACGAAACAUUUGUUUUGAACGUAACCACAACAAAGUCUAGACUGACAACUCAUAUAGGUGAGUCAAGACUGAGACCUCCACUUACACUUAUUGUACCCAAAACUAUCAUCAUUUCCUAAACCUAACCAGGUAGUUUCGUUUCCAUUCACAACGUUAACCACAUGAUAAAAACUGUGACUAUUUCACAUCCUGCACCUCUAGCUGGUACUCUACAACGGGAAGUCUUUGGCAAACUGUUGACCCUUCUGUUACGUAUGAGGAUGUAUCAGUUUCAUGUCAACAAAAAUAGUUUGAAAUGAAAAUGAGUUUACUCCAAAGCCCAGCUUCCUUAUUUUCUGGGAAAAACAAGCAAAGUCCUAAAGCUUCAGAAAAUGAAAUUACCGUCACUUCCAAUAUAUAAAUAAACGUGUUCAUAGUGUCACCCUCUGGCCCAGAUUUUCAUUGGUAAGAUGGUGGUGCUAUAAUUUUUGAAUUUCACUGCAUGAUAGGGCACUGAUUGCUGAAAUCUUUUGAGACACCAACAUUUACUUGUACUUUUU
This is a long non-coding RNA of Sander lucioperca (pikeperch), 1020 nucleotides long. RefSeq lists it as uncharacterized. The record is from RefSeq and is a predicted model, not a curated record. The transcript has 4 exons. Lineage: Eukaryota; Metazoa; Chordata; Actinopteri; Perciformes; Percidae.